GGGGGUUCUCCAGGACCAGGAUUGGGAAGCACUGGUCUACAGUAAUCCUAAAAUACCUUGAUUAGCUGGUUCAGGUGUGUUUGAUUAGGGUUGGAGCUAAAUUCUGGGGGAUGGUAGCCCUCCAGGAACAGGGCUGACUACUUCUGCUCUAAAUUUAUUUCAUAUUUUGGAUUUUUCCAUCUCUAAAUGACAUGUAAAGCAAACUUCAGAACAUCACCACAGUGAGGGUCAGUAUCACAGACGUCAAUGACAAUGCUCCAGUCUUCAGCUCUGACACCUACAGCAGAAGCAUUCUGGUUAAAGACGCCAAGGUUGGAGAGGUGCUGCUGACGCUCUCUGCCACAGAUAAAGAUGCCGGAUCCAACGCAAUCAUUAGCUACAGUUUCUCUGAAGAGUCUUCCAUGGUUGCACUGGAUGCUGAAACAGGAGACAUCACUCUGACCUCUGACCUUAGCGAGGUCACAGAAGACAUGCUGCUAACCCUUACUGCUUCAGCGACAGAUCAUGGAACGCCAGCACAGUCUGAUGAAGCCGAAGUCUUGAUCCACUUCAAAAUUUCCUCUCUCACUGAGAGUGUGGCUUUUGAGAGCUCCUCCUACAACUUCAAAAUUAAGGAGAAUGAACCUGAGGCCACAAUAGUAGGCAAGGUCAAGGCAGUACCAGGGAGUCCACUGGUUACAGUCAGCUAUAACAUGAAGUCACACGAGGAUGUCUUCUCUGUGGAUGAGGAAGGAACCAUAAAAGCUCUCAGGCCACUGAACAAGGAGGAAGAGGAGUGGCACAUCCUCACCGUAGAGGCAAUAGACUCCAGAACACCUCCAAACACUGCAGAGACAACGGUCAGCGUUCAGGUUGAGAAUGUAAAUGAAGCUCCUGUGUUUGACACUGAAAUAUAUAAGGCAGAAAUGUUCAGUAUCACUCCAUACAAAUUCCCUAUAGUGAAGGUCCAGGCAUCAGACCCUGAUGUUGGCGAGAGCUCAGAUUUGCAGUAUUCACUACUGGAGUCCACAUCUCUGGUGGAAGUGGAGGCAAACACUGGUCAGAUCUAUGUGCUGGAUGCAUCUAGUGUUGGCGACGGUCUGUUCACUUUACACAUUAAAGCCACUGACAAACAUGGACUGUUCACGACUACAAAACUUGAGUUCACAGUGAAAGAAAGUGAAAGUGACAACGUCGUGGUCCUCUCUCUAAACCAGCCCGUGUUCACAGUGGAGAAGAAGAUACCAGAGAUUGAAGAGUCCAUGACGAAAGCUUUAGGUUUGACUGUGAAAAUCCUCAGUGCGAGAGCUGAGGAUGGGAUUGAGAUGCGCACCAUUCUCCGGGAAUCUGCAGUCAAGACUUAUAUCAGCUUCAUUGCCAUGGACUCCAGUGGUGCUGUCAUUGAAGCCACGGAGGUCAAAGAGAAACUGCGGAGUAAUCACAACGCUCUAAAAGUGGAGCUGGAGAAGGUGUUUGGUUCCGAUUUGGAAUUCAAAGUGGAGGAUGGUUCUGGAAACAAUUCUGAAGAUUCCAGUCAAGCAGCAGUCAUCGCUCUCGGUGUUCUGCUGGCUAUAAGCAUUGUGGGACUCAUCACUCUGACGACUGUCUAUCUCGUUAGGAAAAAGAAAAUGAAGUACACGGAUUUGGACAAAGAGAGCUUCAAUAUUGGCAGAACCAAGACCAGAUCAAGUAUUGACAGUAGUUUUCAAUUUUCCAGCAAAAAAGAAGAAGCCAAAGAGGUUGAGUUCAGUAACAGACGCGAGUUUGAAAGAGAUUCCGAAAAUGAUGCAGAUUUGAAAACUGGAAGCAGCAUCUCUGCCCUAUGAAAACUGAUGGAUUAUAAGACUUCAUGAGUUUUAAAAUGAAUUGACACACUGUUAAAUCUCUGUUCCAAAACUUAGUGAGUUGCAUUUUAAGGCAAUUCCAAAAGAUACAAGCUAAUCCCAUAAUGCAUUGUGACAAGACAGAGUGAAAUGUUGACUAUAAAUAUAUUUCUUUCAGUUAAUAAUGAAAAAUUUUAAAUUUUACUCAACAUUUUAUGUUUGCUGCCUAUGUAGCGUGUGCAAUAUCAGUCACUUCUAGGUUUCAUUUCAGUUAAGAUGCUUAAACUUACCCAUUUUUGGAAAAGAGCAAAAAUCUUUUUUGUAUCCGUGUUUUUAAUAUGUACAUUCAACUGCCUUGCAUUUUGAUAAUUAAUUUUCAAUGUGGUCUUUUACAAUGGGACUUGGACAUCCCAAAACCUGCUCACAAAUAACAGUAGUCUUUUGCACUUUAACUGGCCCAGCUAUGAUUGUGUAUCAAAACGCUUUUAAUUUGUAUCUUUGAUGUAAAUACCUUUUUAGAAUGAUUUAACUUUUAAAAAAAUGUUUCUUAACCGAAGUGUGUGUAUUUAUCACAGGUCAAUCCACAAAUGAGACUUUUGAGUUUUAAUCCCGCACACUUCCAUCCAGUUUGUGCUUUGGGCUGUGCUCAGAAAAGCAUACUAGCAUACUUUUUUUAAAGAUUAAUCCAACCUGAACGCCAAAUGUUGAGGCAUUUACGCAAAAAAUUUUAUUAAAAAAAAAUAUUAAAACCAGUAAUAAUUUCUGAAAUGAAAAUUAAAAUUAAAUACAAUUUGCUUCUGGUAAACAAUGCAACAUACUACCAUUUGAAAUGUUUUAUUGUUGCAUUUACAGCAAAAAAAAAAAAAAAAAGGUAGGAAGUAUGCAGUGUACACUAUAGUAUGCUGUACACUAGUAUUCUAUUCCAAACACAGCCAUCAGCCACUAGUUACACUCAGCAGAAAGAAAAAUAAUUAAUAAAAAUCACCUCACAACCUGCUUUUUGGACUUGAUUCAUAAUUAAAUCAUAUUAAAAUUUUAUUAAGUUAUAGCCUAUAUUAAAAUAAAUCAAAACAGAAAGACAGAGAGAAAUCAAAUACAGAGAACGCAAGAAUGACAUCCAAUAGAUUAUGGAAUGUAUUUCGGUAAAUAAAAUAGAGCUCCAACUGUUCCAUCAAAUGUGCAAUAUUCCAGCCACAAAUGUUCUGAGCCUGAAAAAAGCACCGUAAGUUUCUAUAUACACAACGUAGGUAUAUAUAUAUACACACACAGUAGAUUUAUAUAUACAGUAUACGGCGCUUGAAUGGAUAUAUACUGUAUACAUACAUCUUACAGAAAUAUAUAUAUA
This is a long non-coding RNA of Sinocyclocheilus grahami, 3147 nucleotides long. Lineage: Eukaryota; Metazoa; Chordata; Actinopteri; Cypriniformes; Cyprinidae. The record is from Ensembl.